UAUCUCUGUAGAGUCUGCAUAUCAAUAAGCGGAGGAAAAGAAACUAACUAGGAUUCCCUCAGUAACGGCGAGUGAAGCGGGAAGAGCUCAAAUUUGAAAUCUUCAAGGUUUUACCUUGACGAAUUGUAGUUUAAAGAAGUGUUUUCUGUUGAAGUUUUGGUAAAAGUUCUUUGGAAUAGGACAUCAUAGAGGGUGAGAAUCCCGUAUUUGACCAUUUCUUUCAGCUUUGUGAUACACUUUCAAAGAGUCGGAUUGUUUGGGAAUGCAGUCCAAAAUGGGUGGUAAAUUUCAUCUAAAGCUAAAUAUUGGCGAGAGACCGAUAGCGAACAAGUACCGUGAGGGAAAGAUGAAAAGAACUUUGAAAAGAGAGUUAAACAGUACGUGAAAUUGUCAAAAGGGAAGCGUUUGACACCAGUGUUGUUUUUCCCGAAAAUCAAUUACGAAUGGCUGGAUGCUAGUGUUGUAUUGACCUUAUCAGCUUUCUUCACUUUUCAGUCUUUCUUAAUGCACUUUUCGGUUAACAAGUCAACAUCAAUUUCUUUUGUUGUAAAAGAGUAUUCGGAAGGUGGCUUUCUUUUCGGAGAAAGUGUUUAUAGCCCUAUACUUCUACAAUCGGAGAGAUUGAGGUCUGCAGCGUAGAUCCUUCGGGGUUAGAUACACUUGUGCUAAGUUGUAGCUUUUCAUAGACAACUUGUUGACUAUGUUUAGUCAUGCGGCUUACUCGCUUGUGCUAUUUUACCUACGCUUAGGAUGUUGAGCGCAUGUCUCUCUCU
This 773-nucleotide ribosomal RNA is filed under the name uncultured Neocallimastigales. Its description in RNAcentral is "partial large subunit ribosomal RNA". It matches the Rfam family "Eukaryotic large subunit ribosomal RNA", at positions 24 to 642 of the family's 3401-position model. Lineage: Eukaryota; Fungi; Neocallimastigomycota; Neocallimastigomycetes; Neocallimastigales. The record is from RNAcentral.